UACGGAGGGUGCAAGCGUUGUCCGGAUUUAUUGGGUUUAAAGGGUGCGUAGGCGGCCCGUUAAGUCAGCGGUGAAAUCCCAGGGCUCAACCCUGGAACUGCCGUUGAUACUGGCGGGCUUGAGGUCGGUCGAGGCGGGCGGAACUGGUGGUGUAGCGGUGAAAUGCAUAGAUACCACCAAGAACCCCGAUUGCGUAGGCAGCUCGCUAGGCCGAAACUGACGCUGAGGCACGAAAGCGUGGGGAGCGAACAGG
RNAcentral lists this ribosomal RNA (253 nucleotides) under uncultured bacterium. Its description in RNAcentral is "partial 16S ribosomal RNA". It matches the Rfam family "Bacterial small subunit ribosomal RNA", at positions 524 to 776 of the family's 1533-position model. The record is from RNAcentral.